Non-coding RNA from Nothobranchius furzeri (turquoise killifish), 2303 nucleotides. The record is from RefSeq and is a predicted model, not a curated record. NCBI's taxonomy places the organism in Eukaryota, Metazoa, Chordata, Actinopteri, Cyprinodontiformes, Nothobranchiidae.
CUAUCUAUCUAUCUAUCUGCAGUAAAGAGUUACAGGAACUUUUAAUUAUAAUUAAUGUAAAUGUUUAAAAUUCCAUCUAGGGGUGGGCAAUAUCAUGUCAUUCAUAAUAUUACCAGUUAUUAUUUCCUGCCAAGACAAAAAAUCUAUCAUGUUAAGCUAACUUCAUGAUGUAAUUGCAUCCACUAAACUGAAGAUUAUGUUCAUGUGGGUCAUCAGCAUGAAGUUAUUGAAGUUAUCAAAGCAAACAUGGCUGGAAUCAGUUUUACUGUCAUCUGUGUCUCUAAGUGUGUGUGCUGCUGUAAUGAGUGGAUGCCCCCACUGUGGGACUAAUAACAUUUGCUCAAUUCUAAUCUAUUAACUCAUAUCAGCCAGUAGGAAAGAAAACGUUAGAGUAAUUUUGGCCUUAAGGCUUCCGUACCAGUAACCUGGUUAUGGAGGAGGGGUUCGUCUCACAAACAGGAAAAACACUGGUGAAGUGGUGAAUUAAAACAUCAGGAUUCCAAAUGUUUCAAUUCCCCGCGUCACCAACUAAUGUAGGAGAGAGAACGUGUGAGUGAGUCACCACGGUAGAAAGCCCAGCUUGCUGUGAGCGAGAGUAGCGAGCGAUCUGUGCCUGAUGAGUGAAAACAAAAGAAAAACAUUCAGGACUGAAACUCCGUCAACACCGGCUGGCGAGGUGGCUGCAUUUCUAAAUAAAGCAUGUCGUUAUGGUGGUGCGCGCAGCCGCAGCUCACGGUUCUGGGAGAAAGAACCAGGCAUGCCCAUCCCAUCAACAGCAGGUGGAGCUCACCACUCCACCCAUCUCACAACCAGAGCGGAGAAAAAGCACAUCGGCUUGGAUUAUACAGAUGGGAUUUUGUGUGUGAAAUAACGCCAGUUAAAGUAUUACUGAAGUGUUGUUUGUGUGCAUGUUGUUCAGUAGCUAAUGCUAUAAUUAAUAUCAUGUUUUUUCAUAAACCCUACACACUGUGCGUGAUGUGCGUUUGGGGAGCGCAGGCACUGGUUUAGCGUGAGAUAUUGGAGGUGUGGCGUGAGAGCGUGUGAAGAGGGUCAAAUGCAUGUGUCUCACGCUCAGUAAGUGAGAGUUGGCAGCUCUGCUAUAAGUUUGACCCCAACAUACAGGAUGCUACACUAAGUAGUAAAUGGACUUAAAACAGUCAGGCACUGUUUCAUUUACUGUUACAUAUAAGGUGAUAUUCUAACAUUUAUGUAUUUACUGUAGAACUAAGAGAACAAAGUGACCACUUGAUAAAGUUCAGAGCAAAAGUUACAACAUGCAAAAUGCAUAUGCAGCCUUCUCAGUUUUCUGGUAUAUAUUUGAUGACAUAUUUCUUGAUAAGUUGAUGUUACAUUGAAGAAAAACAAAAACUAUCUUAAAACUAAAAUCAUUUUGAUAUGUUAUUGCACAGAUACGCUGUACUGUUGAAUCCCAGCAGUAUGGGGUUUUUGGUUUGUUUGUUUGUUUGCUCUAUUUUUUUCCUAGCAGGUAUUCAUUUCUCCCUGCGGUUGAGUUCCUGCCACCACCCCCAGUUUUGGCAGCUGAACGUCAUCAGCUUAUGCAAAAGUGGAAAUGCUGUGUGAUUCCUGUGUCCUGUGGUCCAUGACCUGUGUUAGCCCGGUUCUGGAUGUGGCCUUGCUGAGUUGUCUGUAGCAAGGUGCUCGGCUGUCUGGGAGGUGGUCUGAGUUGGUUCCGUGCUCUGUGGUGGCUGCUGGUUUCCUGGUGCUUGGGGCGGUUCCAGUCUGGAACUUCCAGAGUGCACCUGAUCCUUGGAGUCUCACACUUCACAUCCCAGCACACGCACGAACACGUUUGUUGAUGUUUGUUGUUCAUUGUUUACAUGUUUAUAGUUGUUCAUCCCACGUUUUCUUGAUGAUUCUUAGAAAUGUUUCUUCACAGGUGCAUUAGCUGGUUGCUGUUUUUUAUGUUGGUUUCCUAGUUGUUUUUGUUUUCCUCUCUUAUUUACUUGUUUGUCCUCUAUCAACCCUCUUUAUUCCCGAUUGGUUCAGCAUUUACAUGCUAAUGUGGCAAUACAUGACCCAAAGCAAUAUUACAAUAACAUAAAUUUUUAUUCAAGGGGAACCUCGUACACAAAAGGCUCCUCUUGAUAGAGCAAAUCUGUUCAGCACAUUCUGACAGACAGAUGACCAUUCUUCUGGCAUGUUGCUGUACAGGAUAUGUGUAGAGAUUUUCUUUUUAAAGAUAAAUAGUAUUACAUUUAAAGAGCAAUACUUUCACAUUAUCAUUUUCCCACACUUUCUGUAUACCUGUAUUUAGUUGUUUUUCAAUAAAGAAUGACAAAUUA